This 1030-nucleotide long non-coding RNA is filed under the name Felis catus (domestic cat). RNAcentral describes it as "lncRNA (ENSFCAG00000052636.1)". Lineage: Eukaryota; Metazoa; Chordata; Mammalia; Carnivora; Felidae. The record is from RNAcentral.
UCCAGCUUCCACAAUACGGGCUUCGGGACCUGCCCUCGACCGUGACGCCCUGAGGUAGCCCAGACUCCAACCCCGUGGAGUCAUUCUUUACCUUCUUAAUUUUCUCAGACCCUGUGUGCAACCUGUUACCCAAUCCUGUCCACAUCACCUCCCAGAUAUAUCCUGAACUGACCCCUUCUCAUUCCCAGCCCCCCGACCAACGCUCCCACGUCCCAACUAGUCUGGUUCGAGGCACCAGCACCUCUUGCCUGGAUUAUUGCAAUGGCCUUUUAGGAAUUGCUGGGGUCUGUGCCUUAGGCCUACCUUCUUAGAGUCGAUGCUCCACAAAACCAGGAGCCUUUAAAUUUAAGGGAAUGUCUCUCCUCUGACCAGCCUCCUACGUUGGUUUCUAUCUCAGUCAGGGUAAAGACAAAGUCCUUAAAAAGGGCUCCAAAGCCCUGUCCCCGGGGGGAGGCCUGAAUCUUGGGGACCUCUCCUCCUGCUGCCCUCCCUCCUGAUAGUUCCACUCACCUCCUCUGCUGUCCACAGCACCCUCCGGACUCCCAGCUUGCAAUCCCGGCCUGGCUGCCAUCUGUGCCCAGAAUGUUCUUUCCCGCAUCAGCCACACCCUGUUCCCACCCGUCCUUUAACCCUCUCUAUCCACGCACAGUGCUUUAUCUUUCCCUUAGGGCCAAACGCUUUACGUGGUAGCUAUUGAAGGCUUUCACAGUUGGCUCUUUGCAGGCGCGUAAGGCUGUGGUCCACAGACCUGUGUUUUACCGGCAGGAGGAGGACGAUCCCUGCUCUAUGCUGUCAGCUCUGGGCUCAGAGGCGUCACUCUCACAGCUUGAGACUGAGUCCAGGGCGGGGAUUUACGCACCGAGAUCGGCGUGGGGCACCCGGGAGGCUCCGGCCCCGGAGCGUGGGACUCGGUUUCCACUCAGGCCACGAUCUCACGGUUGGUGAGUCUGAGCCCCUCUGUGGCGAUAGCACGGGGCCUGUUUUGGUUUCUUUCUUUCUCCCUCUCUCUCUCUCUGCCCCUCCCUUGCUC